CCUACGGGAGGCAGCAGUAGGGAAUUUUCCGCAAUGGGCGAAAGCCUGACGGAGCAAUACCGCGUGAGGGAUGACGGCCUGUGGGUUGUAAACCUCUUUUCUCAAGGAAGAAGUUCUGACGGUACUUGAGGAAUAAGCAUCGGCUAACUCUGUGCCAGCAGCCGCGGUAAUACAGAGGAUGCAAGCGUUAUCCGGAAUUACUGGGCAUAAAGCGUCUGUAGGUGGUUUGGUAAGUCUGCUGUUAAAGACUGGGGCUCAACCCCAGAAAAGCAGUGGAAACUGCCAGACUUGAGUGUGGUAGAGGUAGAAGGAAUUCCUAGUGUAGCGGUGAAAUGCGUAGAUAUUAGGAAGAACACCAAUGGCGAAGGCAUUCUACUGGACCAUAACUGACACUGAGAGACGACAGCUAGGGGAGCAAAUGGGAUUAGAUACCCCAGUAGUCCUAGCCGUAAACGAUGGAUACUAGAUGUUGCACGUAUUAACCCGUGCAGUAUCGUAGCUAAGGCGUUAAGUAUCCCGCCUGGGAAGUACGCGCGCGAGAGAGUAACGUACUAAUUAGAAGUUAGUUAGGCGUGAGAGNGCGACGGACGACGACGAGGGAGGAGG
RNAcentral lists this ribosomal RNA (606 nucleotides) under uncultured bacterium. RNAcentral's name for it is "bacterial SSU rRNA". The stretch from base 1 to 521 matches the Rfam family "Bacterial small subunit ribosomal RNA", at positions 338 to 873 of the family's 1533-position model. The record is from RNAcentral.